RNAcentral lists this ribosomal RNA (253 nucleotides) under uncultured bacterium. RNAcentral describes it as "partial 16S ribosomal RNA". It matches the Rfam family "Bacterial small subunit ribosomal RNA", at positions 524 to 776 of the family's 1533-position model. The record is from RNAcentral.
UACGUAGGGCGCAAGCGUUGUCCGGAAUUAUUGGGCGUAAAGAGCUCGUAGGCGGUUUGUCGCGUCUGUUGUGAAAACUCGAGGCUCAACCUCGGGCUUGCAGUGGGUACGGGCAGACUAGAGUGCGGUAGGGGUGACUGGAAUUCCUGGUGUAGCGGUGGAAUGCGCAGAUAUCAGGAGGAACACCGAUGGCGAAGGCAGGUCACUGGGCCGCAACUGACGCUGAGGAGCGAAAGCAUGGGGAGCGAACAGG